Molecule: ribosomal RNA, 497 nt
Filed under: uncultured bacterium
Lineage: Bacteria
Description: partial 16S ribosomal RNA
Rfam family: Bacterial small subunit ribosomal RNA
Source: RNAcentral
GACGAACGCUGGCGGCGUGCCUAAUACAUGCAAGUUGAGCGAUGAAGAUUGGUGCUUGCACCAAUUUGAAGAGCAGCGAACGGGUGAGUAACGCGUGGGGAAUCUGCCUUUGAGCGGGGGACAACAUUUGGAAACGAAUGCUAAUACCGCAUAACAACUUUAAACAUAAGUUUUAAGUUUGAAAGAUGCAAUUGCAUCACUCAAAGAUGAUCCCGCGUUGUAUUAGCUAGUUGGUGAGGUAAAGGCUCACCAAGGCGAUGAUACAUAGCCGACCUGAGAGGGUGAUCGGCCACAUUGGGGCUGAGACACGGCCCAAACUCCUACGGGAGGCAGCAGUAGGGAAUCUUCGGCAAUGGACGAAAGUCUGACCGAGCAACGCCGCGUGAGUGAAGAAGGUUUUCGGAUCGUAAAACUCUGUUGGUAGAGAAGAACGUUGGUGAGAGUGGAAAGCCCAUCAAGUGACGGUAACUACCCAGAAAGGGACGGCUAACUACGUG